GUAGAUAAAAGGGAACAUCUCACUCCAGUCCUGGCUGCCAGAGGAGGAAGAUGGAUGUGCGUUGCUGGCUCCUGCUGAGGUACUGCCAGCCUUCCCGAUUACAGAAUCAAGUCUCCCUGACUAGAUUAUGAGGGAUUCCCAUUUAUGGAGGCUGAUGGAGAUGUCAAGCCUCUGCCUGGGAGGACAAGCCCAAAGUGGUCUUAGAGCUGUUGCUGUGCAAGGCGAUAGCUGAAAAUUGGAGGAAUUAUUUUUUGAGCAUUUGACUGAAAACUGUCACUGACAGAGGUGUCUUCUUCUUGAGCAAACUGAAGGCUCCUCCUGCAGGUCAAAGAAGCUAGUGAUAAAGCUGGACUGUCUGUGUGACUCUUUACUGGCUUCCUUUGCCUGAGCAACUGGGACAGGAUAAGCCAGCCCAGAUUCAUCCCUAUUGUGACCAGUGACCUCUCCCGCAGCCCAUCCCCAAUACUCCCUUCUUUGUUGGCAGAUGUGAUGCCAACGUGGAAUCCACCUCUAUGAGAAAGCAGACACAUGUCAAGGAGAAAAGCUUUAAAGAAAGCAGGACCACAUACUAGAACAUUCCUCUAGAGAGCACAGCGAAAUCUCUUUCAGUGUCCCAACACAGCCUGGUUUUGCUGGCAGCGAUGUAAGACAUUCUCUGUGUCGCUCACGGACACCAUCCCCACAGGUCACACUGCAAGGACUCCAGGGCUGCCACAGGCUCCAUGUUUCUGUGGAUACAUGAGAUCACAGCAAUGAGGAAUGCAGCCAGACUCAUUUCAUCUUACAGCAAAGCUUUCAACUAUCCCUCCUUUAUAUAGAAAAUAAUCAACCCCAACUCUGCAAUUGUAACCCUGCAAAGUAAAUAGCUACCGGGGCCUGCGCCUGCUCCCAUCAGAGUCAGGGGCAAUGCUUCCAUCACCUCCAAUGGCAGCAGGAUUGCACUACUAGUCUGUUAACUAAGGCCAGCAGGAUAUGCCUUGUACAACAGCAAAUAGAAAUGAAUCCACAAGUCUUUCUAAUGGCUUAGCAGUUUAGGCAUUUAUAGGGUCCAGUUCCUACCUUGUGUAUGCUGGUUUUAAUUAGCAUCACUAUUGAUUUCAGUGGGGUUACCCCUGAUUUAGACUGCUGGGAGAGGAGUCUGAGGCCCAAAGGGACUAUUGAAAAAGCACUGUUGGUUUCUCUCCUGUUAUCUUCAUAGCACACAAAUUAUGUUAUUGAACCACUAGUUUAACAGUUUUUUAGAAGUCCUAAUCUUUUAUUGUUUGAGGGGGCACUCAAUAAGGAGUUUUAGGAUGAAAAUUCAAGUUUUUUUUUUAAGGGGUCAAGGUUCAAGGCAGAAUGCAUUUUCAUUAUUUUAAAUGCAACAAAAGCAGUUUUUUGUUUGAAUUUCAAUAUCCUCUUGCUGUGUUCAUAACUCAAACUUUACAGCACUGACAAUCCAGAAGCUGAAAGUGACUGUGCCUGCCAAUUUUUGAAUGCUAUAAAUAACAUUUGGAAAGAAAAAAACAGCAACAUCCUUAAACUCCAAUAAAAUUAAUUAGACCUGGUGCAAUUUUUUGGAGAGACAGAACAAUGUGUGAUAGAUAUCUUGGGAUUGUCCCCAUUAAAUAUUAUUAGUUGGCUUAUAGGAAUUGAUUUGAUAUGGACCAGAAAUAAAACCAUUAAACUCAUUAUUUUCAUUAUCUAGGAGGAGUAAAAUGCAAAAAGUAAAACCACAUAAAUGAUGGGAAAGUAAGUUAGGGUUUUUUUUAAUUCUCUCUCUUUAAUAAUUCUGGUGUUGCUAUUACUAAUACAGGUCAUGACAUUUGGUUUUAAUUACAUGAUUCUUAACCUCA
Long non-coding RNA from Dermochelys coriacea (leatherback sea turtle), 1835 nucleotides. RefSeq lists it as uncharacterized. The transcript is spliced from 4 exons. NCBI's taxonomy places the organism in Eukaryota, Metazoa, Chordata, Testudines, Dermochelyidae. The record is from RefSeq and is a predicted model, not a curated record.